CAUUAGGUGGCUGAAAUCAAGUAAAGGUCUCUUAAACCUUCUAAUAAUAAAGUAGUGAUUAUUUCUAAUGA
Molecule: transfer RNA, 71 nt
Filed under: Ischalia sp. BMNH 840493
Lineage: Eukaryota; Metazoa; Arthropoda; Insecta; Coleoptera; Anthicidae
Description: tRNA-Lys
Source: RNAcentral